This 212-nucleotide long non-coding RNA is filed under the name Homo sapiens (human). RNAcentral describes it as "HSALNT0025997". Lineage: Eukaryota; Metazoa; Chordata; Mammalia; Primates; Hominidae. The record is from RNAcentral.
CCGUGCCCCGUGUGCAUUGCAGCUGGCGGUGUGGUUGAACGGUCUUUGUGUGCUUUCCAGGGUGAUGCUGAGAACACACCCAUCCUUCAUCUUCUUUCCGUUCUGCUCCCAUCUUCUCCUGUGCCCUCUGCCUCUUUCUGACUCUUCGUUGUAGACAUUGCUCCUAAUGGUCAGACGUCUGCCAAGACUGUGGUCAUUUUCUUGGUCGCGUU